RNAcentral lists this non-coding RNA (28 nucleotides) under Homo sapiens (human). The record is from RNAcentral. Lineage: Eukaryota; Metazoa; Chordata; Mammalia; Primates; Hominidae.
UGUGCAUGGGAGCACUCCCACCCUCCUC